Molecule: ribosomal RNA, 497 nt
Filed under: uncultured bacterium
Lineage: Bacteria
Description: partial 16S ribosomal RNA
Rfam family: Bacterial small subunit ribosomal RNA
Source: RNAcentral
GAUGAACGCUGGCGGCGUGCCUAAUACAUGCAAGUCGAGCGAACAGACGAGGAGCUUGCUCCUCUGACGUUAGCGGCGGACGGGUGAGUAACACGUGGAUAACCUACCUAUAAGACUGGGAUAACUUCGGGAAACCGGAGCUAAUACCGGAUAAUAUAUUGAACCGCAUGGUUCAAUAGUGAAAGACGGUUUUGCUGUCACUUAUAGAUGGAUCCGCGCCGCAUUAGCUAGUUGGUAGGGUAACGGCUUACCAAGGCAACGAUGCGUAGCCGACCUGAGAGGGUGAUCGGCCACACUGGAGGUGAGACAGGGUCCAUACUCCUACGGGAGGCAGCAGUAGGGAAUCUUCCGCAAUGGGCGAAAGCCUGACGGAGCAACGCCGCGUGAGUGAUGAAGGUCUUCGGAUCGUAAAACUCUGUUAUUAGGGAAGAACAAAUGUGUAAGUAACUAUGCACGUCUUGACGGUACCUAAUCAGAAAGCCACGGCUAACUACGUG